RNAcentral lists this ribosomal RNA (254 nucleotides) under uncultured bacterium. RNAcentral describes it as "partial 16S ribosomal RNA". It matches the Rfam family "Bacterial small subunit ribosomal RNA", at positions 524 to 776 of the family's 1533-position model. The record is from RNAcentral.
UACGUAGGCAGCGAGCGUUGUUCGGAGUUACUGGGCGUAAAGGGGGUGUAGGCGGUUGUUUAAGUUUGGGGUGAAAUCUCCCGGCUCAACUGGGAGGGUGCGCCGAAUACUGAAUGACUUCGAGUGCGGGAGAGGAGAGUGGAAUUCCUGGUGUAGCGGUGAAAUGCGUAGAUAUCAGGAGGAACACCGGUGGUGUAGACGGCUCUCUGGACCGUAACUGACGCUGAGACACGAAAGCGUGGGUAGCAAACAGG